UACAGGGGGUGCAAACGUUUGCUCGGAAUCAUUGGGCGUAAAGCGCACGUAGGCGGCGCGGCAAGUCAGGGGUGAAAUCCCGGGGCUCAACCCCGGAACUGCCCUUGAAACUGCAGUGCUAGAAUCUUGGAGAGGCGAGUGGAAUUCCGAGUGUAGAGGUGAAAUUCGUAGAUAUUCGGAAGAACACCAGUGGCGAAGGCGACUCGCUGGACAAGUAUUGACGCUGAGGUGCGAAAGCGUGGGGAGCAAACAGGG
Molecule: ribosomal RNA, 255 nt
Filed under: uncultured bacterium
Lineage: Bacteria
Description: partial 16S ribosomal RNA
Rfam family: Bacterial small subunit ribosomal RNA
Source: RNAcentral